This 359-nucleotide ribosomal RNA is filed under the name Ammothea sp. JA-2009. RNAcentral's name for it is "partial 12S ribosomal RNA". Lineage: Eukaryota; Metazoa; Arthropoda; Pycnogonida; Pantopoda; Ammotheidae. The record is from RNAcentral.
AAUGAAUUUAAAUUUAUACUAAGAGAUUAAGAGUUAAGGUCUUUAAAUUUAAAGAAUUUGGCGGUAAAUUAAUUUGACUAGAGGAAUUUGUUUAUUAAUAGAUAAUACACAAUUUAUCUUUCUUUAUUUAUUGUUAAUAAUAAUUUAUAUAUCGUCGUUUAGAGUAUUUUUAUAGAAUUAAUUUUCUUUAAUUAUAAUUAAUUAAAAAUCAGAUCAGGAUGUAGUUUAUAAUGAAGAAUAAAAUGAGUUACAUUUUUGAUAAAAAAUUAUGAAUAAUUUUUUGUAAUAUAAAUUUGAAGGAGGAUUUAGAAGUAAUUAAAUAUUAAUAUGAUUUUAUGAAUAUUUAUUAUACUAAUUUA